UUGUCGUCAGCUCGUGUCGUGAGAUGUUGGGUUAAGUCCCGCAACGAGCGCAACCCUCGACCUUAGUUGCCAGCAUUCAGUUGGCACUCUAAGGUGACUGCCGGCUAAAAGUCGGAGGAAGGUGGGGAUGACGUCAAAUCAUCAUGCCCCUUAUGACCUGGGCUACACACGUGCUACAAUGGGCGGUACAAAGGGUCGCGAACCCGCGAGGGGGAGCCAAUCCCAAAAAGCCGCUCUCAGUUCGGAUUGCAGGCUGCAACUCGCCUGCAUGAAGCCGGAAUCGCUAGUAAUCGCGGAUCAGCCAUGCCGCGGUGAAUACGUUCCCGGGCCUU
RNAcentral lists this ribosomal RNA (332 nucleotides) under uncultured Anoxybacillus sp. RNAcentral's name for it is "bacterial SSU rRNA". It matches the Rfam family "Bacterial small subunit ribosomal RNA", at positions 1049 to 1382 of the family's 1533-position model. Lineage: Bacteria; Bacillati; Bacillota; Bacilli; Caryophanales; Anoxybacillaceae. The record is from RNAcentral.